Long non-coding RNA from Cryptotermes secundus, 1757 nucleotides. RefSeq lists it as uncharacterized. The record is from RefSeq and is a predicted model, not a curated record. NCBI's taxonomy places the organism in Eukaryota, Metazoa, Arthropoda, Insecta, Blattodea, Kalotermitidae. The transcript is spliced from 2 exons.
AUAAUAAAAAUAUCCUACAGAAAAAUGGAUACAACACAAAUUUAAUUUUGAAACUAACACCACAAAAACAAAAUGGGGUAUUUUUACAUACAGUGGAAAAGAAGUAAGACAAAAUUAUUAAAAAACACACAACUUAGAACAGCAUUUCGCACAAAAAACACAAUCAGCAACACACUGAGAUCGGAAAAUAUGACAAUAGCGUCAUAUACCAAAUGAAAUGCUUGGAUUGCCCAGUGAAAUACACUGCCCAAACUGGAAUGACAUUUAAAAUGAGAUACAAGGAGCACAUUCAAGCUAUUAGGAGUAACUGCAACAAAUCAGAAUAUUUGAACCAUAUAUUAAAUACGGGACACUCUUGUGGCAAAAUAGAGGAUACUAUGGACGUCGCAAGAAUCUGUAGAAAAGGUAAACACUUGAAUACACUGGAAAGAUACCACAUCUAAAAAAUAUACAAAAAUGUACAUAUAGAAACACACAACCCAAGAACUCUACGAUAGAUAGCACUGGACACACCAUACAGAAUAAGGUAGAAGCAAGAGCAAUGACAUUAUGUUCAGUAUACUAGUAGACCACAAUGGGGACACUGACAUAGGGAAACACGAUGACAAACAUUAAGUACACAUAUAUAUAUGAUAGCAUCAAGGAAGUCAAAAAAGCAUAUUCUAGUCCUAUUGCAUGUUGUAUGUUAAGUGAUAACAGCCGCAAAAUAGCUGGAUAAAAAUAAAAUUUAACAACUAGCAUGAAUAAUGACGUGCAUGAGAGACACACGGGAAACAAAUAUCGUGCAAUGGUCUCACUCGAGGAUAGAAUUCACCUCAUGAUGGCCCAAUGAGGCCGAAACAUGUUAUGAAGAUAAAUUACUUAAAACCAAGACAAGUUGAGUGUUGACAUUCACUUUUAAUGUGUAAAUUUAUAUGCUAACAUAAUAACCUACAGGCAUUUUAUUGAUUUUAACUGUCACGGUAUUAAAAUGCAUUUUUAGUGAAAAACAUAUUCCUAAUGUCUUUUUAAAGUUGUAUUAUUGACGGAAACAUUAGUAAAAUAGGAUAAUGUCUCAAUACAAUGGGGUGCUGAAGUAUAAUUCCUCUCCCUUAGGUAGAAUUUUGAUUAUAUAUUGUAAAAAUGAAGCUAAGUCCUUCACAUUUAUUUCUGAACAUUUCCCAGCACCAAGACAAUUGUGACACUUAUGUAUUUGGAUGAACAGAACCUUUUCUACUUACUCUCUGCAUUCGAACCAUGACUAUGAUAUGAAUUCAGUCUUGAUCCUUUUUGAUUGGGCCUCACAUCAAGUGGAACUAUUACAAAAUAAAGAAGAGAACUUGGAUAUUCCUGAAAACAUCGUCAUAGUUCAUAAAGACAACUGUAAUCAUUUUGGAGUAAUCUUUAAUCCUUUGUAGAUUGCUAGUUUUAAAGACUUGGAUCUUAUCCAUUGACUAGGUUUGUUUGAAGUUCAAUGAAUCCAGAUGUUAUCUCCAGUUUCUAAGUUUCUUCAGGCUUUUGUCAGCAUUUGUCUUGGGGCUAAUGUGCUUGACAGGUAAAAUCUAUCAUAAUCUAUGAAGAUUCGAAAAGAAAUAGUGUUUUGUCAAUUUAAGAUUCCAUUUCUAGAAUUAUGAUUUCUUACUCUUCAGUAUGUUUCAUUGUUUUUACAUCACCAUUUUACUCUUGUUUCCCCUUUCACUGUGUUAUAUCAAUGAAGUAUAUGUAUUGUCUUGUAAGGAGAUUGUUAAGAAAAAUAAAUGUUAUAAGAAUAUUUAUAA